GGGUAGCCGGCCUGAGAGGGCGACCGGCCACACUGGGACUGAGACACGGCCCAGACUCCUACGGGAGGCAGCAGUGGGGAAUAUUGCACAAUGGGCGCAAGCCUGAUGCAGCGACGCCGCGUGGGGGAUGACGGCCUUCGGGUUGUAAACCUCUUUCAGCAUCGACGAAGCGUGAGUGACGGUAGAUGCAGAAGAAGCACCGGCCAACUACGUGCCAGCAGCCGCGGUAAUACGUAGGGUGCGAGCGUUGUCCGGAAUUACUGGGCGUAAAGAGCUCGUAGGUGGUUUGUCGCGUUGUCUGUGAAAUCCUACCGCUUAACUGUGGGCG
Molecule: ribosomal RNA, 328 nt
Filed under: Hoyosella sp.
Lineage: Bacteria; Bacillati; Actinomycetota; Actinomycetes; Mycobacteriales; Hoyosellaceae
Description: bacterial SSU rRNA
Rfam family: Bacterial small subunit ribosomal RNA
Source: RNAcentral